GACGAACCGUGCGAACGUUGUUCGGAAUCACUGGGCUUAAAGGGCGCGUAGGCGGGCUACCAAGUCUGUGGUGAAAUCCCCCGGCUCAACCGGGGAACGGCCGUGGAUACUGGGAGCCUCGAGGGAGAUAGGGGCAGGCGGAACUGAUGGUGGAGCGGUGAAAUGCGUUGAUAUCAUCAGGAACUCCGGUGGCGAAGGCGGCCUGCUGGAUCUCAUCUGACGCUGAUGCGCGAAAGCCAGGGGAGCAAACGGG
RNAcentral lists this ribosomal RNA (253 nucleotides) under uncultured bacterium. RNAcentral's name for it is "partial 16S ribosomal RNA". It matches the Rfam family "Bacterial small subunit ribosomal RNA", at positions 524 to 776 of the family's 1533-position model. The record is from RNAcentral.